RNAcentral lists this ribosomal RNA (298 nucleotides) under Spirometra erinaceieuropaei. Its description in RNAcentral is "partial 28S ribosomal RNA". It matches the Rfam family "Eukaryotic large subunit ribosomal RNA", at positions 19 to 286 of the family's 3401-position model. The record is from RNAcentral. Lineage: Eukaryota; Metazoa; Platyhelminthes; Cestoda; Diphyllobothriidea; Diphyllobothriidae.
GAUUACCUCGCGAACUUAAGCAUAUCACUAAGCGGAGGAAAAGAAACUAACCAGGAUUCCCCUAGUAACGGCGAGUGAAGAGGGAAUAGCCCAGCACCGAAGCCUGCGGUAGGUUUACUGCUAGGCAAUGUGGUGUUUGGGUCGACUCGCGGGAUUGCCACUCCACUCGAAGUCCAGCACUGAGUAUGGUUCCCUGGAUUUGGCCCAGAGAGGGUGAAAGGCCCGUGCGAGUGGAGGUUCAGACAUGUGAGGCAAUUCACCAGGUCGACCUUCGAGUCGGGGUGUUUGGAAAUGCAGC